RNAcentral lists this signal recognition particle RNA (277 nucleotides) under Aotus nancymaae (Ma's night monkey). RNAcentral describes it as "Metazoan signal recognition particle RNA (ENSANAG00000011804.1)". The stretch from base 45 to 256 matches the Rfam family "Metazoan signal recognition particle RNA", at positions 65 to 277 of the family's 299-position model. Rfam says of the family: The signal recognition particle (SRP) is a universally conserved ribonucleoprotein. It is involved in the co-translational targeting of proteins to membranes. The eukaryotic SRP consists of a 300-nucleotide 7S RNA and six proteins: SRPs 72, 68, 54, 19, 14, and 9. The record is from RNAcentral. Lineage: Eukaryota; Metazoa; Chordata; Mammalia; Primates; Aotidae.
AUCACUCCGAAGCAAGCCCCUUGAUCCUGAAUCAAGAAGUAUACAGCCCAGGAGUUCUGGGCUGUAGUGCACUAUGACGAUCGGGUGUCUGCACUGAGUUCGGCAUCAAUAUGGUGACCUCCCGGGAGCGGGGGACCAUCAGGUUGCCUAAGGAGGGGUGAAUCAGCCCAGGUCGGAAAUGGAGCAGGUCAAAACUCCCGUGCUGAUCAGUAGUGGGAUCGUGCCUGUGAAUAGCCACUGCACUCCAGCCUGGGCAACAUGGCAAGACCCUGUCUCU